GGCUCCAUAGCUCAGUGGUUAGAGCACUGGUCUUGUAAAUCAGAGGUUGUGAGUUUGAGCUUCACUGGGGCCU
Molecule: non-coding RNA, 73 nt
Organism: Sinocyclocheilus anshuiensis
Lineage: Eukaryota; Metazoa; Chordata; Actinopteri; Cypriniformes; Cyprinidae
Source: the annotation of a RefSeq genome assembly